GACGAACCACACAAACGUUAUUCGGAAUUACUGGGCUUAAAGGGUGCGUAGGCUGUGCGGAAAGUUGGGUGUGAAAUCCCCCGGCUCAACCGGGGAAUUGCGCCCAAAACUACCGUGCUUGAGGAAGACAGAGGUGAGCGGAACUUCGGGUGGAGCGGUGAAAUGCGUUGAUAUCCGAAGGAACACCGGUGGCGAAAGCGGCUCACUGGGUCUUUUCUGACGCUGAGGCACGAAAGCUAGGGGAGCGAACGGG
This 253-nucleotide ribosomal RNA is filed under the name uncultured bacterium. RNAcentral's name for it is "partial 16S ribosomal RNA". It matches the Rfam family "Bacterial small subunit ribosomal RNA", at positions 524 to 776 of the family's 1533-position model. The record is from RNAcentral.